GAUGAACGCUGGCGGCGUGCCUAAUACAUGCAAGUCGAGCGCACAGACGAGGAGCUUGCUCCUCUGCCGUUAGCGGCGAAGGGGUGAGUAACACGUGGAUAACCUACCUUUAAGACUGGGAUAACUUCGGGAAACCGGUGCUAAUACCGGCUAAUAUAUCGAACCGCAUUGUUCAAUAGUGAAAGACGGUUUUGCUGUCACUUAUAGAUGGAUCCGCGGCGCCUUAGCUAGGUGGUGAGGUGACGGGUUACCAAGGCGGCCAUGCAGAGCCGACCUGAGCGGGGGGUCGGACACAAGGGGAAUGAGACACGGCCCAGACGCCUACGGGAGGCAGCAGUAGGGAAUCGUUGGCAAUGGACGCAAGUCUGAACGAGCAACGACGCGUGAGUGAAGAAGGUUUUCGGAUCGUAAAACUCUGUUGUUAGAGAAGAACAAGGAUGGGAGUGGAAAGUUCAUCCCUUGACGGUAUCUAACCAGAAAGCCACGGCUAACUACGUG
RNAcentral lists this ribosomal RNA (498 nucleotides) under uncultured bacterium. RNAcentral describes it as "partial 16S ribosomal RNA". It matches the Rfam family "Bacterial small subunit ribosomal RNA", at positions 28 to 507 of the family's 1533-position model. The record is from RNAcentral.